UACGGGGGGGGCAAGCGUUGUUCGGAAUUACUGGGCGUAAAGGGUGCGUAGGUGGCGAGGUAAGUCGGAUGUGAAAUCUCCGAGCUCAACUCGGAAAUGGCAUUGGAAACUACCUUGCUCGAGGGUUGGAGGGGGGACUGGAAUACUUGGUGUAGCAGUGAAAUGCGUAGAUAUCAAGUGGAACACCAGUGGCGAAGGCGAGUCCCUGGACAACUCCUGACACUGAGGCACGAAAGCUAGGGGAGCAAACAGG
This 253-nucleotide ribosomal RNA is filed under the name uncultured bacterium. RNAcentral describes it as "partial 16S ribosomal RNA". It matches the Rfam family "Bacterial small subunit ribosomal RNA", at positions 524 to 776 of the family's 1533-position model. The record is from RNAcentral.